CCUACGGGUGGCAGCAGUGGGGGAUAUUGCACAAUGGGGGAAACCCUGAUGCAGCGACGUCGCGUGUGGGAAGACGGUCCUCUGGAUUGUAAACCACUGUCCCCAGGGACGAAGAUGACGGUACCUGGGGAGGAAGCUCCGGCUAACUACGUGACAGCAGCCGCGGUAAUACGCAGGGAGCGAGCGUUGUCCGGAUUUACUGGGUGUAAAGGGAGCGUAGGCGGGACUGCAAGUUGGGUGUCAAAUCUACGGGCUCAACCGGUAGCCGCACUCCAAACUGCAGUUCUUGAGUGAAGUAGAGGCAGGCGGAAUGCGUAGUGUAGCGGUGAAAUGCGUAGAUAUUAGGAGGAACACCGGUGGCGAAGGCAGCCUGCUGGGCUUUUACUGACGCUGAGGCUCGAAAGUGUGGGGAGCGAACAGGAUUAGAUACCCGAGUAGUC
RNAcentral lists this ribosomal RNA (440 nucleotides) under uncultured bacterium. Its description in RNAcentral is "partial 16S ribosomal RNA". It matches the Rfam family "Bacterial small subunit ribosomal RNA", at positions 338 to 795 of the family's 1533-position model. The record is from RNAcentral.